This 25720-nucleotide long non-coding RNA is filed under the name Malus domestica (apple). Its description in RNAcentral is "long non-coding RNA (MDOM_LNC006465)". The record is from RNAcentral. Lineage: Eukaryota; Viridiplantae; Streptophyta; Magnoliopsida; Rosales; Rosaceae.
CUGUUUAAUCCAAUCCUUGAUUAAAAAGCUGACAGACAACUUUUAUUAAUAGUCCAUAACAUUCGAAACGAAAACAAGAAGUCUUGAUAAAACCCUUAAACUCCAACAAACAUAGAUAAAGGUAAGGUAGAUAGUCACACCACAAGGAAACACAAACAAGGAAAAUAAAGACAGUCAUCAAAUCAAUAGAAAAACAGAAGCACUCAUAGCACUUGAUCAUACUAAUUUGCUCAGCGAAGAUUUUCAAUCUUCCUUCCCCAGCAGAGUAAGGAGGAAGUCCUCGUAAUCCCCGGAAGUUUCUUUGGCCACAGCAUGGUCGAGAGGAACACUGUUCUUCUUGUAGUAAACCUCUUUGAUGUCUUUCAAGUCCCUCUCGGCCCUUGUCACAAUCACACGAGUGAGGGCAUCCUCAUCAGUUCCAACCCUCUUGAUUGCGUUGCGAAGAACCUUCUCAAAGUACUUCUUGGGGUCAUUGAGGCAUCGGAUGGCUACAUGCAGUGCCUUCUGGAGACCAUCAGCACCCUCUUCCAACAAACUCUGUGAUAAAAAGAAGAAAACUUAGAGGUCAAACUCGGCAGUCUUCAAUCUUAGACUCUUAGUACAUAAAAGUCUCUGUAAGUAAUUAGUUUGGGGUUGGAUGCUCUAACUUCGACAUAAGGAGGUUCAUACGUACCUUACUGAUGGAAGUGCCAUGGUCAUCUCGGUAGCGGUUAAAGGUUGCCAUGAGCUGAGUCUUGCUCCUAGUACUGAGGAUCCUAAUAACUUCAUCAUGAUUGAAAGCCUUGUCUUUGAUAGCAUCAUGAAGAAUAUCAGCUUCCGAAUUCGCCAGUUUUGCAUUGAUCUCACAACCAUCAUAACGAUACGCAGUCACUAAAGCAACCAAAAGCUGUAACAUUGACCAAAAACCAUCAAACACCAUUAACAAUUCUUCUACGAUUCGAGAAAAACACAGAUACCAAAAUAAUAGUUCACCUAAUACAAAAAAGAGGAGGCAAACAAUGGCAAAUUCUCCAACUUAUGAUGUUGUCCAUUAGUAAAGUAGACUCUCACAUAAUCCAAGUUCAUAGUUCGAUAACAUAACAUGUCAUACUAUUUGCCAAAAAAAAUCCUUUGCCGUUAAUAAUGUUUGUCGUACCUUGCGGAUAUCACCAGUGGUGUGUGCAGCCAAGUCUUCCUCCAAGGAGUGCUUGUAGCGAACUUGGUAAGCCUUCCUUACUGCAAGGAGCUCUUCAGGAGAUAGAAUGGUUGCAAUCUCGAUGAUUACAUUGUAGUUACACUCAGAUUUCUUGAUGGCCACAUGAGCCAAAACAGCAUCUCGAUCUGCAGGAUCCAAGAUCCAACGGUACACCGCUUUCUACAUUUGCCAUAUCCCCAAAUGAAAUUAGUUUUAGUAUAUGGUAUAACACAAAUUAGAGGUCGCACUUGGUGCGAUGGCAAGUGCCUUCGCCCAUGAGCGGUAGGUCUCGGGUUCGAGACUUGGGAGCAGCCUCUCCAUAAAUGGGGGUAAGGCUAGCCGACAUUCACCUCUCCCAGACCCUGCGUAAAGCGGGAGCCUUGUGCACUGGGUACGACCUUUUAUAUGGUAUAACACAAAUUGCUCAAACAAGAAAUAUAAAACUAAUAUAACUCAUGCAAAAAAUUUGAACAUAAAGUUAGUUAGGUCAAUUCCAAAGUUCGGAUUCCCAUUUUCAUAAAUUAGCGUAAUUUAAGAUAUUACAUUGUGAGAUAUAAAAUAUAGAAAAUUUGAGUUCGAAAGUAGAUACCAUGUAAGUUCAUCCAUGUAGAGAGUUUUGAGAGGCAAAAACUUUUUAUAUUCUAUAUAUUUCAUACAAAAGUGAUGAAUUGACUGAAAUGUUCAAAACUCUUGUAUUUAAGUGGUACCCUUUAAUCUCAUCAAAACAUUUCAGUCCACAACAAAAAUCUCGUAAAAAAAUAUUUACUUAAUAUUAAUAAAUAAUACUUUUACCAUAUUUUUCGUACCACAUUAAUACCGUUCUUUAAUAGAUAUAGGUGUACAUGUGUUCUAUGCCAUUGUUAUUUUAAACAAAAUAAUACUUGGAAUUAAUAAUUUAUUGAUAGCUCAUUGAUUUGUUCUCUAGAAACUUUCAAAUGUCGCUCUCAUCAUGAUGACAUUCUCGUUUCCACCCACUUCUAUAUCUUUGUAGGAAAAGGACAAAACGCUUCGGAGAUUUCUAUGUUUUGUGAUACACAAGAACGGAACUAGAUCCCCUCCGGACUCAAGAAAGCUAAGUCUGCUGAGCAAGAGAUUCGGGUUGUUGAAAUUUGAUCAAACAGCUACAAACAUGAGGCAUUUAAAAGUUAUAAAAAUUGAAAUUAUUUGAUCAAAUUUCAACAGUCCGGAUCCCUUGCUCAGCACAAUUAGUUUAUUUGAGCCCGGAGGCGAUCUGGUUCCCACAAGAACAAUCAAAACAUAACACAUUUUUUCAUGUAUUUAUUUUUAAAAAUAUUUAAAUUAUUUUUUACUCAUGAAUAUUUCAAAAAUAUAAAUAAAUAGUAAUGGUAAAUAUCGAUUAAGGGUGAAAGUAGGAGAGAAAAAACCUCAAAAUCCCCAGAGAGCUCGGACUCAAGGCGCUUGAGAAGAUCUUCCUGAUAAGAUUGCUCGUAAGCAAGCCUGAUUUGCUUUCUCUGUGCAGCGUUUCUAUGUCCCAGUAUAGAGAUUAUAGCCUUCUCAUCAGUCCCCCAUCCUACACAGUACACAAAAAUAUGAAAUAUACAUUAAUUUACCAUAUAUAUAAAUUCUCAAAAAAACAAACACAAUUAAUUAUCUGCAUGCAAAUUAAAAUAAGAAUUAAAUGGCUGAAUAAAAUGAUUAAACCUUUCACAGAUUUUCGAAGAACUUCAGCAUCGUCGACGGGUGAGAAGUUUUCAGGAGCAAUUAGGGUAGCCAUUGUUGGAGAUAAUUUUCUAGGUUCGACUCCUCUCUUACUAGUGUCUGUCUUGUGCUCUUGCUCUUACAAUGUCUAAUAUUUAUAGCAAAUCUUUCACAUUAAGAAAUCAACUAAAAUUGUGGUAUUUAGGAAUAUAUUAAUUAGCAUAUCUACUAAUUAUCCACAAAUGAGGUUGUGCUUACGUGAGUUUUGGUUGGAUUUGGUGCGGCACUAAUAGGAGGUUGCAAAAUGGCAAUCUCUAAUAAUACGACAUUCUUUAUAUAUAUACAUUUCUUUAUAUAUAUACAUGAUCUCUCCGGGAUUUAGAAGACAUUUAAUUAAUAAUUUCUUCCGUUUUGGAGUUGUUCUUUCUUUUUCGCUAAGAUUACUUUAGAUCGGAAAAUUAUUCUACCUUUAGAAUGAGCUAGGCCAAACUUCAGAGAUCAAACUUAAAAUAUAAGCGAGAGACAAGUGAUGAACUACUCGUAAGAAGAAAAAUUGAAUAAAUCGCCAACUUACCUAGGUUAACAUUCAUACGAUCAAGGACCAAACAAAAGAAGUACGGGACAUGCGUACACGUACACACACACACACGGGGGUCAGGAUCGGGCUGGAAACACAUUUGGACACUUUUGUUGGCUCUUAUUUCAUAAUUUCUUUUAAGAAUCUGAACGGUAUGAUUUUAAAUUUAUAUGACAGUGUAGAUUGGCUAAAAAAUAGUUAGAGAGAGUAGAGUACCUUUGCAUGCGUUUCUGAGGGCUUCUGCAUCGUCGUGAGGAGAGAAGUGGUCUGGAGCAAUGAGGCUUGCCAUCGUAAACUGCUAUGCUGUUUUUGCUUGGUUUUCAGUGGGAAAGUAAGGAAAGAGGCAAGUAAAAUGUGAGUGAGAGACUAGUCCAAGUGUGUGACCUUUUAUAUAUUGCUAGGUUUUCUUGUAGUAUUCACCAUUGAAGUUAAUGGCCACCUCACACAAACCAUGUUGUCGAGAUUCCCCGUACGUUACACGUGAACAGUAUACCUUUUUAAUUAUCUUAAUAGUUUCCCUUACUCCCACCAAUUACUGUAAAACAAGGGAAGAAAAGGGUAAUUUAAAUAUGAAUAGUCCUCGUAGUUUACUCGGAUUUUCAAUUUAUGUUUGUAGCUUUUUUGUUGUAUUUUAUUGGACACUGAUACAGGACUCAAAACCAUCUCUGUCUUGAUACCGUCUUGGUGGAAAUUUCCGUGAGCAUGAGGGUGUCUCGAUACAUAAGUUUAGGGGCAUAUGGUGGAAAUUUCCGUGAGCAGGGAUUCCAUUGACCAAAUGACAACUCGAUAUAGUGCCCAUGGAAUUGAUUUGGUGAUGACCCUUAGACGGAAAUGGAGGCUGUUGCAUACAGAAUGGUUCCAUAAUCUAUUUGAGUAUGUUAAAAGAAAUAUUGGAGAAUAUUCUAUUUUGGAAGGUUGUAUCUUCAAAAGUGAUGUGUGAUGAUAAUGGGACGAAAUUGCACCGUUCUUGAGUAUGGAUUUAAGUUCUGAAUACUUGCCAGUUUAGUAAGCAAGUAGCAUCUGUGCAAGUAGUAUGUUUGAGUAUGGAUAUUUGUCAAUUUAAGUAUGGAUUUAGUUCAUGUUUGUGGGACCACAGUUGAGAAGAACAUGAGGAGCAAAAGCAACCUCAAUUGUUGUAAUCUGUAGUGCGUCCAUUUGUUCAUAUUUCAGAGUUUGCUAUUUGAGACUUUGCUACAUUCUCAAACUGGGAAACCCCAGUUGAGAUUGAGGGAGAGUAUUAAGGGUACAAGUGUAAUAGCGAUAGAAAUACAGUUAGUAAGUUUGUUAGUAUUUGGUUAAAGUAGUUAGGAUUUCUCUUAUAAAAAUAGUGUGUGUAAUCUUUAUUUAGUCAGUUAAUACAAAUCCUAUUUCUCUCUCUAAACUCUCUCUCUCUCUCUCUCUCUAGAAUCUCUCUUGUUUCUCUCUAUCAUCUUCCUCUUCCUCUGUACUAAUUCUUCAUCUUUUACAAUGUAGUUAACACUUUUAAAUAAGAAGAUGUGCCCAAAAUGUGAAGGAAAAUUCAUCUUAAUUGAUAAAAUAUUAGACUUAAGCAAAUAUAUACGAUAAAAAUGCAAUAAAAAAAUAGGACGAAAGUGCAAAUCUAACUAAAUCAUGGAGACUAUUAGUACAAUUUGCAUUAAAAAUUUUGAGGAAAUUGUAGUAAUGGUCCAUUAACUUUAACUCAAUUGGAGCAACGGUCCCUCAACUAAAAAUUCAUGACCAUUGUUUCCUUAACUCAUCAAAACAUGCCGCUAUAGUUGUGCAGCCAAAAAUAAUCAAGAAGAAUAUAGAGGUGACACGUGGAUUCUAGGGUAAAAAGGAUAAAAUUACCCUCGAGGAACAUCGAAACCCCUAUGCGCGAGCAGUGGACAACCAUCCCUCAAUCAAGUAAAAAGUGCCCAAAAUAGGUAUUUAUUCAAAACCUAUUUCAUCCAUCCUCAUCAAAUAUUCUCCACAAGGUAACCCCCAAAUCUUUCCUUUCAAAUUAUAUUAAUUAGCUAAUUAAUUGAUUUAUUAAUUUAUUAAUUAGCUACAAAUCAUGAAUCUCAUCCAAAAAACCAUCUAAGUGGCCAGUCCAUCUCCUCCCAAAGCGGCCGGCCACACUCCUAUAUAAACACCCUCAUUUCUCCCAAAUUCAAUUCCAACUCUCUUGCUAAAUUCUCCAAAUUUCUCUAAACAAUUUUCCCUCAAAUUCUAACCUUAUCAUCAGAGGUUCUUCGACCAAAGCCCCAUCAUUCAUCAUGGGCGCGUGAGGCUCUUGGCCUUGACCUAAGGUGUUAAUUGUUUUGUAGGUGCAAUUUUGUCCAAUAAGAAGAAGGUAGAAAUUUGCAUCCACAAAUUGAUGCGUUCAUUGAGAGUCUUGAUCAAACGCUCGUAGAAGACUCUCGCAUUCAAGGUUUUUCGUUUUCUUGUUCAUUUGUAGAUUUUUCGUACGUUCUUAUUCUUGGAAUUUUUUCUAAAAAUUCUUUGACAAAAUGUAAAAGAAAAGUACAAUGGCAAGAGAUUCAGAAACCUCAACGAAUGGAAAUUCCAACGUUCAAGGAUUAAGACCGCAACGAUCUAUAAAGCUCAACACAAUGAUGAGGGGAGUGCCACCAUCCCUACAAGGCACCAUCAUGGUAACCACCACGACAACCACCUUCAGCAAGGCUCACGACACCACAAUCACAGCCCAAGCCGUGCCAUUGAAGCCCACACAGCCCAAGCCCAAGGCGUGAUGACCCGAGCCACUCAAGCCCGACGCGAACCCAACAAGUUGCCAAGCCGAACCUUAGUCUCACACCCAUGUACGCCACACGCCGAGCAUCCCAAUCCCGUCGCCUAGCCUGCUCUCGUGGCCUUCCAAGCAGCCCAAAUCGGCCCAAGAUUAAUUCAACCGACCCAGCUUUAAAUUACAGGGCCUACGAUUGAACCAGGGGCAUUUUCACCAUAUUUCUCUGCAUAAUUGAUAUUUUCCAACUCAAAUCUCGUGCUCGAAGUCUACCACAUACGGAGAAACCUACCAACCAAGCCCUUCCAUCCCGUAUGGCGAACAACACUUGUCCCGACAAGUCAUAGAGUUGACAAAUGCCCUCGCGCCGCAAACGACCUUAGUGAAUCAACUUUUGCAACAUGCCUCAGAAGAUGUGUCUCGAAGAAGGACAAUGGCAUACGACGAACCUCUCCAGCAGCGUUUUGGUAAGCAACCACUCGACCAACCACUAACCGAGCGUUCAAGUAAUGUACAUUCCUGAUUGGACCCCCAAGAUAGCUUAUACUCUCGUCUUAGCACGCGGAGAAGCAUGUAUUCUAGACUAAGCUCGUAGAUAAGUAUACACUCACAGUUGGGACUACCCUCUGGUAAUCAACAUGAACGACCUUCCAAGCGAAGUGUUCAUUCACGACAAUGUCAGCAAGGAACAUCAUUCAACUCACAUUGGAGUAGGCAACACAGCAAAUAGAGAGAAGCAAUCACUCAAUCCAGCUCAAGUUCAAUCAGCAACCUACUAUGAACAUACCACAUGAACCGCAGCCACGACAUAGACGAGUCGAGCAUAGGGAAGAGUGGACUAGACUAAUAGGUCACAACCAAGGGCUGUCGAAAGUUCCAUUGCCCCAGCAGAGGCAAAUUCAAGAAGAAGUUGACAGGCUCCUAACUGAACGAUUGCUCAAUUUUUAGCGCAACGAGGCUGCUGACGAUGUGCUUCGACAAGACAUGACCAAUAUAAGCAUGUUAUCAUUCGUGAUGAGAUCGAGUGGACAGAUCCACCUCACGGGUUCACUAUGCCUCAUUUCAUUCCGUACAAAGGAGACGAAGAUCCGGAUCGACAUCCUAAGCGCUACCACAGUACCAUGAUCCUCUUCAGGAAUGACGACGCGCUUAUGUGCAAAAUUUUUGCCACAACUCUACAAAACGAGGCACAAGACUGGUUUCACACCCUACCGCUGUAGUCGAUCUAGAGUUUCAACGAACUUUCCUUAGUUUUCACUAAGGAGUAUUCGUCUAACUACUCAAUCAAAAUGAUAUCCGACCAUCUCUUCAGCAUUAUAAAAAACCUUUAGAAGACAAUUCGCAGCUAUGUCAAGAGGUUCAAAGUGGAAAAUGCCAAGAUUGUUGGCUACAAUGAGGACAUAGCAAUAGCAGCAUUCAGAAAUGGGUUUCCCACCAAACAUUCUUUAUUCAAAAAGCUGAUCAUAUGAGAAUAACUGACUCUAGCAACUUAGUAUGCUUUGGCGGAAAAGCACGCACUAUAGGACGAGGCCAAAUAGUCUAACAAAAACGAGUCAAAAAAGAAGCGCUUGAAACGUUCCCUGACCAGAGAAGACUCAAUUCCUGAAACAUUCAACAAGUUCACAGUUCCAAUCGGCCAAAUUCUCCGCAAGCUCAAGAACGAACCUUGGUUCGAACAGCCGCCACCCAUGAAAGACGAUCUUACCAGGCUGGAUCACAUAAAGCAUUAUGCAUUCCAUCAAAGACCUGGCCACACUACCAACAGCCGCUUAAAGUAGAAGCAGUACCUUGAGAAGCUGACAAAUGAUGGCUGGUGUGAUGAAUAUCUUAAUAGGUCAACGACACAACCUGCAUAAGCAGGGGAAGUCUCAAAUAGCUCUAUGAAUAAGACUUUGCAAGCCGAGGAUUAUCCAGUUUGUUAUACAGUCUCUACCUUCCAGCACAGUUAAUUCAUUUCUUUAUUCUCAAUGAAGAUUCAAGAAGUUAUUCAUAAGUCUGACUCAACUGCUGUCUACAACAACUGCUAUCUACAACAGCUGCUCAAACCCUUAUCUGGGUCUGUUCUCCAGUGUGAAAGGAUAAACUAAUUGUUAUCCAAUGCGAGAGGGUAAACCAAUUCCAUGACACCCAUAUAGGUUUAUUCUCCUAUGUGAGAGGAUAAACUAAUUGCGCUCCAGUGCGAGAGGGUAAACCAAUUCUCGGACACCCAAAAGGGUCUACUCUCUAAAAUGAGAGAAUAAACUAAUUGCUCUCAAGUGCGAGAGGUUAAACCAAUUCCCUAACAUCCAUAUGGGUUUGCUCUCCAGUGUGAGAGGAUAAACUAAUUGCUCUCCAGAACGAGAGGAUAAACCAAUUCCCCGACACCCAAAAAGGUAUGUUCUCCAGUGCGAGAGGAUAAACUAAUUACUCUCUAGUGCUAGAGGGUAAACUAAUAGCUCUCCAGUGUGUAAGGGUAAACUAAUUGCUCUCCAGUGCGAGAAGGUAAACUAAUUCCCCGACACCUAUCUGGGUAAGCUCUCCAGUGCGAGAAGGCCACAUAGCUCAAAAGAUCGAAUGCUUGAAGACUAACUAGGCAGGAAAUAGUCAGGGGGCAGCAACCAAUUUGCACUCAAUAGUUCGCUCAUCCGACAUUUCAUCUUCAGCAACUCCGAUCUUGGUAGCUCCAUCCUUGACUGCUCCAUUUACGGCAGUUGAGAAAUCAAAACUCAAGCAAUUCCCUCAUUUUUGGCAAGCAGCCCAAACCAUGGCCCAUGCCACGACACUUCUUAGGCCCAUGCCGAGCCAAUCCUUGGCUUCAGUCAAGUCGAGCAGCACAAGCAAUGGUCCCUGCCAUACCACUUCUUUGGCCCAUUCCAAGCUAACUCUUGGCCUCUGCUAGCUGACGUGCCACACCAUCCCGACGACUACCCCGUGGCAGCACCACCCAAGAAGAAGACAAUGAGAAUUAAGUUUUUCUUACAUCGAUGGGCGCGGAGAAGACAAAGAAAUCAAUGGAAGACAAUUUGUUGCACGAGCAAGCAAAGAAGAAUGUUAGGGAAGGGGGAACAAAUAUCCUCCAAUUUUCUCUCUUUCUUGUAGGGAUAAAUAAUUGCCCUCCGAAGUUGAUUUAAUCCCUUACUUAAGGUAGGCUUAAAUAGGCUUUGGAGGUGAUUUAUUUCCCUUUCCUAGAAGAAUUUAAUUCCAAGUGAGAAUAUGCAUCAAAGCUGGAGAUCUCUACACUUACUGCUAAGGAUAGGCAACGGUUAUGGCGAACGGGUAACCACGGUUAUUUAUUCAUAACCGUUUAUUCUCAUACCCGCAUAACCGUUUACCCAUUUGGUAAUUGUCUAAAUGGUUAUACCCAUACCCAUAACCGUUUAUAAACGGUUAACCAUACUCAUAACCGUAACCAUUUAGUACCCGUUUACUUAUUUAUCAUUUUUAAACCCAUUUAUCCUUUCUUUUUUACCAUUUACUCCUUUUUCACCCGUCUACGUGAUUUUUUAACAACUUGAAAAUUAAAAAAGAAAAAUUUGUCAUAAUUUUGUUUUUCUAACAAUUAAACACCGUUAUAAGCACAUUCAUCAUACAUUUCCGCAUUUUAAUUUUUUAAGUCCGUAUACCAUUCCAAUAAUUGAAAUAAUAGUUUAUAGACGAUAUUUUUAACUGUUAGCAAUGAAGGUAAUAUAAAAUUUGCUAAGUAUUCUUGGGUUACGAAAACUGUUAAAAGACAGUAUUCUUGGGUUAUUUGACUCGGAAUGUAAAAUAUUAACAUAAUAUAUAUAAUGGACCAUGAAAUAUUAAAGUGGUUAAGGAAAACUAUAUUAUAUUAGCUAUAGAAAUCAUGCACUAUAGUCAAUAGCAUUGAUCUAAGUUUUGUCCGAUAGGGAACAUGGUUUGUGUUAAUUUUACAUAUAUAAAAUAAAUGGGUAAAUGGUUACCCGUUUAUAACCGUGGUUAAUACCCAUAACCGCCCAUUUAAAUUUCACGGGUAAACAGUUAUACCCAUAACCGUUUAUUUAUCUAAACGGUUACCCAUAACUGUAACCGUGAAAUUUAAAUGGACGGAUAAACGCGGUUACCCAUAAUCGAUGGGUAUUUGCCCAUCCCUACUUACUGCCCUUUCCUGCAAGCAACCCAACAGGUGUAAGGGCAUUUGUGGAGCCAAAAUAAUCAAGAAGAAUAUAGAGGUGACACAUAGAUUCUAGGGUAAAAAUGACAAAGUUACCCUCAAGGAACACCGGAACUCUUACGCACGAGCAGUGUUUCAAAAUUGUGUAUUGUGUUUUGUGUUCACACAUGCUACUUCUUUUCUCAACUAAUUAUUAUAAAUCUCUGCGUUUUGUGUUCACACCUGCUACUCUCUUUUUUUAAUAGUGUCUUGAAGAGUAAUGUUAGGUAAACCAAUUUUUAAACUAAAAUAACAAAUCAUAUGAAUGUCACCAAUAUGAAAUAAACGCUAAUCAACAAUUAGUAAUAAUCGAAUAAUCAACAACCACAUUGUUGAUAACAAAUUUCACACUGAUGAGAGGACAAAUUUAUGCUUGGCCUACUAAUUUGCUACGUGAAGUUCAAGGGUGGAUUAGAAAUUUCUUAAACGAGGUAUGCCUCUAAUAGCUUGGAGUUCUUGUUGUAAGUUGAAAGAAGAGGGUGGUUUGGGUAUCCGAGAUCUUUUUAAAUCCAACCGUUCUCUCUUUCUUAAAAAAUGUUGGGAUGUAUUUUCUUCUUCCUCACCGGCUUCGGAUUGGUUACGUAAUAGAUUUCUUAAAGACAACUUUCAUUUGCUAAAGUCUUAUAAAAAGUCUUCCGUUUGUUUGGGGCUUAAACAAUUAUGGCCCUCCUUCUAUAGUUCCCUUCAAUGGAAUGUUGGUGAUGGCCGUAAGAUUUCUUUUUUGUAUGAUAACUGGCUUGGAACCACUUUGCUCUCUAAUAUUGGUGAGGUUGACAUAAUUCCCUUGAAUUCGAAGGUAAAAGAUUUUAUUCUGGAUUCAAAAUGGUCUCUUCCCAUUGUCUUUACUUCUUCUUUUCCUCAUCUUUCGGAGAAGAUUAUGAAGACUCCAUUGCCAAUUGCACACAUGGAUGAUGCGUUAUUUGGACAGGUUCAUCUUUGGGUACUGUUUCAGCUAAGGAGGCUUUUCUUUUUUUUCUCAUCUCAUGCUCCACAUAAAAAAUGGGCUAAAAUGGUUUGGCAUCAAUCUAUUCAGCCACGCAAAAGCUUAGUAGUUUGGAAAGCUUGUCAUGGAAGAUUAUUGACUGAUGAUUUAUUGCAACGCCGAGGUGUGGCUUUAGCUUCUUAUUGUGCUUUUUGUCAUAAUGCUAGGGAAUCUUGUGACCAUCUUCUUCUGCAUUGUCCUCAAAUAGUUGCUUUAUGGAAAUAGAUUUUCAUUCUUUUUGGCAAGCCUUAUGAUCCUUGGCAAUGCAUUGAAGAUAUUUUUUAUGGUUCUUUGGUCUCAUCUUUCCCCACAUCUGUUCGAAAACUUUGGUUAUUGGUUAUUUGCAGUUUCUUUUGGUGGCUUUGGCACGAAAGGAACAAGAUCAGGUUUGAGAACAAAAGUUUCAGUAUUGUCGAGUCCCAACGUUGUCUUUUACGGCAUUGGAAGGAAUCAGCUUCUACUUGUUUUUCUUUCACUGGUUGUGUAUCGAUUCCCAUAUUCUCCAUGUUAAGAAUUUCAUCCCUUUCUUUAGAUGCUCUUAGUUUCGUGCCUGUGUUUUGGCGUCCACCUCCUAUUGGGUGGAUUAAGAUUAACACAGACGGGUCUUGUAAAAGGAAUGGUCAAGUGGGUAGUGGUGGUGUUUUUCGUGACUCCAGUGGUCUUUUUUUAGGACAGUUUGCCUCCUCGUCUUCUUAUCCAAGUGCAGUUGUUGCAGAGAUUGUGGCUGUCAUCGAGGCAAUUCAGAUUCCAUGGGAUAAAGAAUGGCAUAACAUUUGGUUAAAGACAGAUUCUAUGCAUGUCAUCAGCCUACUAUCAGCUCACUCCAUAGAUGUUCCAUGGUUUCUUAAAGUUUCUUGGGCAAAUUGUUUAUGGCAUAUUGCUCGCUUGCAUUUGCGUUUUUCGCAUAUUUUCAGGGAAGGGAAUUGUUUGGCGGAUGCUUUUGCUAAUUUUGGUGCAAUGAAUAGUAGCUUUACGUGGUGGGACUUGGUACCCGAUUUUGUUGAUGCGUCUUAUAGAAGAGAUUGUGUUGGGCUUCCAUUCUUCCGUUCGAGCUCAUGAGGAGCAAAUUGUUGCUAUGGAAGAGGAUUUUGGGAAAGAAAUAUAAACAACUGAAUUAUGGGAAUUCAAUUUAGGUGACUGAAGCUAAGCACCCUUAAACUAGUCCAUAUCAUUUUCAUUAAUUGUUUUUAGCGGGUUUUGGCCUAGUCCCCCCGUUUGUUCUACUUUUCCUUUUUUCUUCUUAUUAUUAAUAAAAUCUUGUAGAGGGGGGACGGGCGGGGGGUUUCUGGGUGCAACAGUCCUUUCUCAUUUGGAAGAGGGUUGGUGCCUCGCACGCGACUGUUGACGAAGAGCUAAUCUCGCCUAAUCCGUCUCUAAAAAAAUUUAUAUAAAAAAAAAAAAGUAGUUAGGCUGCUCCUAUAUUGCCAAUUAGUGCUAUGAUGGAACCCCAACUUUCUUUAUGGUAUUAGAGUAUAUGUUGUCUCAUGUAUGAAGUCUACAGACCAUACGUGCUUCACGUCACCCAACUUGUGUUUUCCACGUUUUAAGCUUGAAAUAAGGGACAUUGCAUGUGCCUAUAAGUAAUUUGGACAACUCACAUUUUAUGGUGGAACCCAACUUUCUUCACGUAUCAUAUGGUUUAAAAAAUUUGGUUUAAUAAUUUGUUAUACAAAGACAUAUACAUUAUAAUUAGUAACAUCUAAAAUGAGUAUCUCAAAUUUUGUCUGAAGCAUGUGUGCGUGUACCUUUUAGGUAAAUGUUUUACUCGAAUAAGACUGCAUUUUAAGUUUUUAUUAUCUAGAGUCUAAAAAGAGUGUCACCAUUUCAUCGAUUGUGGCAUAUGCAUAAACGUGAUCGUAUAUAACUGGCUUGGCUGUCAAUUAUAUAAAUUGCAGAUUAAGCUUGUGAGCGUGACUAAAUGACCAAGUUUAGGAGUCCUAUAUAUUAAGGUUAGUUGUGUACCAUUUGGGAUCAGUUUUCGCUCCUAGUUGAAUUCCUGUAUAAUCCUAAUUCUUAUAUUAUAUGAACAAGGCAUCUGGAGGGUUUUAUGUGUGCGAGUAAGAUCAAAUUGUUAAGAGAUCACAAGACACAAGGGGAGACACUUUCGAAGGAAUGUGAGGGGUAAAAGAAAUUAAGACCUAGGGUUGGUGAACCAAAGGGGUUUUCAUACUAUUGAACUAUCUCGGGAAUCAUCGGAGUGGACGUUAACAAUUUUUGGCUGAACCAUUAUAAUUUUGUGUUCUUGUGCGUGCGUUUUCUUUGUGCUUGGUGUUUUUGUAUUUCUUUGCGGUUUGAUUAUUGUGUGUUUUAUCAGACUUCGUCGAAAUCAAGAUUCAUAUUGAGAAUCGGAAGAGACUUCGCUGCUGCUGAACAUUUUAGCAAGAGGUGCUGCUUACACCCAAUCCCGGGUGGAAACGUUAAUCAAAACUUGGACACGUGUCCACUCGGGAUUGGGUGUAAGCACCACCUCCUGCUGAAAUGUUAGCAGCCAAGCUGUGUUCUUGAGAAUUUAAGAUGUACAGUAAACUAGUAUUAGAGCUGACAGGUUAGGCGUUGGUAUUUGUUCAAGUGCGACAAGGCAGCAUGAUUGCGAAUGAAGAGUCAUGCAUAACCAUGGGGAGCGUUGAAGGCAACUUAAAGCCCUUUACCAAAAAAGGAGUAUUUUCACGCUAUGAUAGAAAUGAAUGAUAGAUCAUCUAGUACUACGGUCUGCUGAUAUUCUUCUUUACUUAAAAAUGAGAGGUCUUAGGUUUGAAUGAAGAGUCAUGCAUAACCAUGGGGAGCGUUGAAGGCAGCUUAAAGCCCUUUACCUUUGGUGAGCAUAGAGAUCCAAAUGGCUAGAAUGGUUUGAUAGCUUAAGAUUGAUUCAAUGGUUUGAUAACAUAGAGAUCCAAUGGCUAACAUGCUUGCACAACUUGAUAAAGCUAGAAAAAAAUAAAUGCUAAUAUGAACACACACUAGAUCUUCCGAGGAGCUAUUAGGAGCUAGGAAGGCCUACCAUUCCCUCUUUGAUCACUCCAUUGAGAAGAUGUUGCCUACCGCGUUGAUAGCCCUGAAGGCAAGGUAAAUUUCAUCUUCCAUACUCAGUACUUGCAUAGUUGUCUCUUAGUUUUCUUUCGUUUGUGGGAUAAUUAAUAGUGCCUGUUUGAUAAUUGUGAUCUGAGAUAGAUCGAAGUGAGAAUUGAGAAAUAUGGGCCUUGUACUUCGUUGGUUUUUUUUUUCAAUUUUAUUGCACCACUAUUGCACAAAGAUAAGGUUUCAAAAAAGGGAUGGUACUAGUAUUGCUAUUAAAUGUGCAGUAUGGUAAUUUAAUAACUAGGACAUUGAAAUACAUAGGUUCCAUUCGGUUGAACGAACGUGAAAGAAAAGAUUUGGUUUUGAUAAGAAAUCUAACUUUGCUAAAAAAUUAGAAGGCAUUAGGUUAAAUGUAUUUCAAAUAACUAGAUAAUAUGCAGUUGAAAAGGGCUAAAACUAACUAUACGUAUUGAGUCAUUUGAAAUUCAUUUAUUUUCUUCAUUUUCUAAUUGGGAUCUUGAACAUAUUAAUUGUAAUAUGUGUGUGUAUGAAAUGAAUAUGUGUGUGUAUGAAAUGAAUAUGUGAAGUCAUUUAACUGGUGUUUCGUUUUCAUUUUGUCCAGCUCUUGGUUGCUCUUGUGAGUUCCUUUAGGUAUGAAGGAUCAAAGGUUAAGGAUGACACUGCAAAAUUUGAGGCCAAAACACUUGUUAAUGCCAUUAAGGAUGUCAAUAAGAGGCACCACAAUGAAGAUUGUUUGUACCAUACUUGACCAAUCCCGAAACUACUGAGCACCGGUCAACGUUAUACCGUCAAGGGCCCAGAAAAGUUUCCCUUCAACCAGGAGGUCAAUCACAGCGCAACACGUGUCGACAUCAGAAGCCAAUCAUAGCGCGACACAUGUCAACAUCAGAAGUCAAUCACAACACGACACGUGCCAAUGUCAGAAUGAAACUAGAAACUCUCUUCUAUAAAUAGAGAUCAUUCUCUCACAAUAUUUCCUAAUGUCAUUUGUACUAAAUCAUUCACUAGUACUCACUAAAGGAGAGCUUAAACCUAUGUACUUGUGUAAACCCUUCACAAUUAAUGAAAACUCCUCUACUCUGUGGACGUAGCCAAUCUGGGUGAACCACGUACAUCUUGUGUUUGCUUUCCUAUCUCUAUCCAUUUACAUACUUAUCCACACUAGUGACCGGAACAAUCUAGCGAAGGUCACAAACUUGAUACUUUCUGUUGUACCAAAGUCCUCACUGAUUUUGUGCAUCAACAUUUGGCGCCGUCUGUGGGAACAACACUUAUUCCCACUCUCUUCAGCUUUGCCAAGCUGGUUUCCACCAUUUGUACACUCUCUUUUGACCAUGCAUCCCUCUCCAACAUGGGGAGCGAAGGAAGCCACAACACAUAGAAUGACACCCUUCUUGCACCUAGUGCGAAGCAACGAAAGAUGGAAUGAAAAAUGGUUGCUCUUUAAGCUAAAGUCGAUGAGCUAGAAGCUCAAAACAACAAGAUAGCAAUGAAGAAUGAGGUGCUCCAAGAGCAGUAUGAUAAGCUCUUUGAGACGUUCCACGAAACUAGGCGUACUCAAACACGGGAGCUCGUUGCCCCUGUGGACAUCAACCAUCAUCUAGGUACCCCCCAACACGGAGGGUCACCUCUCUUCGACAUGAGUAUCCCUAAUGAGGAGCAAGCUAAUCAUCAAAACAUUGAUCAACAUGAGACUUCUCUCAACCCAGAUGCUUCAACCUGAAGCAGGAGAAAUUGAGGAAGACACCUCCUUGCAGAAAGGUUGGAAGGAUCGAAAGCUGUUUAUCCUGACUGCCGAGAUUUCUUAAAGUAACAUCGAGAGAAUCCCCUCCACAUAUGCUCGAAGAUCAAUGACCUAAGGGUUUCUAAAAGACUCGGUCCCUUCCCACGACCCAGGCCAGUUGCCAAUCUAGGGAAGGAACAACCGGUCCUAGAGGAACAUGAAGGUACAGGGGACUUUGCGGUAUUCCGACAGACUCACCCUAGAAGUCAGUACGGCGAGUCCAAGAAAAAACCACACGCCCUUGCUCAAACUUUCCUACUUUCAAGAGGCGAUGAAGACUUACGAAAGAAAAUUCUAGUGGUACAUGACUCUACUCAGGACCCCCUUGUCCUACGGCUCCUUGAAGAAGUAAACAAGUUGAAGGCCAAACGUCAAGCUGAGAUACCUAACUGGAACCAACCCAGGCCUGGCCUUUUCACAAGGAGGAUCCUCGACACCCCCCUUCAAGCGAAGACAAAACAAAAGCUUGGUUUACAACUCUAUACUGGAAGGAAAGACCCAAUUGAACACCUUAACCUCUUUGAGUCCACCAUGGCAUAUCGGAUGAACACCGACGAAGAGCGAUGUCUUCUCUUCCCCUUCACCCUCUCUGGCGGAGCUCUAAACUGGUAUUGUCAUCUUUCACCUGAGACAGUAGACUCAUUUGAGGAACUGAGGAAACUGUUUGUCUCUCAACACAUCUUCCAGACUGAUCGCUUGCAUUAUACAGAUGACCUGUACACUAUUCGCCAGAAGCCGGACGAGUCACUACGAGAGUAUGCCGGUCGCUUCAGUCAUGAGUAUUCUCGCUGCGCUGAGGCAAAUGACAAAACCGCCCUCAAGGCAUUCACAGCAUGCCAACGUGAUUGUUUCUUCAAGUACAUGAUCAAUGCCAACACUUGGAAGACUUACUCUAAGGUGAUGGCACAGGUUUACAACCACAUCUCCGCCGAAGCAAUGACAUAACAAGGGAACCCCCAUAUGGUUAAUCCUUAUCAACAAGUGGGAAGUGGAAGUCAAGUUCUACCAAGUGAGGAGAUCUUGGCCAUUCAAACACCCAUUGUAUCAUUUCCUGCCUCAUUUAGCUACUCGCUAAGUCACCAUACGUAUCUGUCUCUUGGUAAGAGGAAUGAUUUUUACUCUCAGCAAGCCCAUUACAACAAGAGGGAUAAAAGUUCGUAUCAAGACAAUUAGGGGUGAACGUACCAUUGACUAUUAUGACUAUGGGGCCAAGCCUCACUCUUUCAAAGUGGAGGACUAGGUACUGAAGGAAAUGCUAUUAUAAGAAGACAUACAUAUUACAAAUGUUUUGACUCUCAACCGCUUGAGAUCUUUUGUCACACAAGCCAUUCGGCAAAUAUUUAAAGAAGAGGGAAUUCAAACAACUUCUUCUGAGUCUUUUGCGUUCCUAGCAUUAGAACACUUGCUUUACGCUGACCUACCAUUAUACUCCAACUCAGAGCUUCAACAUGCGUACUUUGACACAAAGUAUAUGAUACUAAGUGUUACAACCAACAUGGUUCACAUAUCAAAAGCAUGGAUCCCUUCAUGCAUAGCAAAACAUUCAUAAGCAUCACUCAUAUCAAUCAACAUAAACAUCAUACAUUCCAACACAUUCAUACAUAAACAUCAUACAUUCCAACACAUUCAUACAUAAACAUCAUACAUUCCAACACAUCCAUACAUAAGCCAACCGUGCUUCAAAAGGGUUCAACAUACUUUAUGUCUUCGACACUUGCUACAAUAUGCCUCAACACCUUGCCCUUAUUCUCACCAACCAGGUGAUGAAAUGUGAAGAAGGAACUCAUCUUCAUGCCACCAACCAGGUGAUGAAAUGUACAACCCGUACUCUCCUUCAUACCACCAACCAGGUGAUGAAAUGUAUAACCCAUACUCUAAUAUCAUUUGGCAACUUACCACCCAUGCCACCAACCAGGUGAUGAAAUGUGAAGAAGGAACUCAUCUUCAUGUCACCAACCAGGUGAUGAAAUGUACAACCCGUACUCUAAUAUCAUUUGGCAACUUGCCACUCAUGCCACCAGCCAGGUGAAAAAGGAACUCAUCUUCAUGCCACCAACUAGGUGAUAAAAUGUACAACCCGUACUCUCCUUCAUGCCACCAACCAGGUGAUGAAAUGUACAACCCGUACUCUAAUAUCAUUUGGCAACUUGCCACUCAUGCCACCAACCAGGUGAAGAAGGAACUCAUCUUCGUGCCACUAACCAGUUGAUGAAAGCAACUCACCAUUAUUCCACCAACCAGAAGACGAGUGGUACAACUUGUACAUGUGAACUCCUAGCAUUCACAAAUAAUCAAAAACCCUCAUGUUUUACAACUCAACUAGGGGAGCACUUAUGCCCAACAAGAGUUAUAGUCACCAACAAAAUCUUAUUGCAAGCCAACAACAGCUUUAGUGCAUGGCAUACGAAGAUCAAGCUAUUCAGCCCUCUUGCAUUUGCUUCAUACAUUUCUCCUUUGUAACAAUGCAAACACUACAAGGUGUGGCUUGCAUCACAAUCUCUUGCUCAACAGUGUGGAAGCAAAAUUUGUAUAUGUUGUCAUCAAAGGAGUUCAACCACAAUUCUCAAAAGCUUCACACACUCUUGAUCAAGACAGUGUGAAGGAAAACCAAUCUAUGGUGCCAAUAAGAGCUUCAUCAAUGGAGGGUAACCACAAUUCUUAAAAGCUUCACACACUCUUGAUCAAGACAGUGUGAAGCAAAACCAAUUUAUGGUGCCAACAAGAGCUUCAUCAAAAGAGUUCAACCACAAUUCUCAAAAGCUUCACACACUCUUAAUUAAGACAGUGUGAAGCAAAACCAAUUUAUGGUGCCAACAAAAGCUUCAUCAAUUAAGGGCAACUACAACUCGUAGAAAGCUUCACACACUCUUGAUCAAGACUGUUCCAAGCAAAUUCAAUUUAUAUGGUUCAUCCAAACCUUUGACUACUAUAAGGUAUAGCUUGUAUCACAAUCUCUUACUCAACAGUAUGGAAGCAAAAUUUGUAUUUGUUGUCUCUCCCACAUUUUCAAAUUUCUAAUUUUCCUAAAAAAAAUAAAAUAAAAUAAAAUAAAAUAGGGAAAUUCAAUAAAGCUUCAUCAAUGAAGGACAACUACAAAAUUUCAAAAGCUUCACACUAUCUUGAUCAAGAUAGUGUGAAGCAAAAUCAAUUCAUGGUACCCAACAAAAGCUUCAACUCCAAAGCUUCACCUACAAAGCUUCAACUCCAAAGCUUCACCUACAAAAGCUUCAACACAAAAGCUUCACCCACAAAAGCUUCACCUACAAAAGUUUCACCCACAAAGCUUCACCCAUAAAAGCUUCACCUACAAAAGCUUGACCCACAAAAGUUUAACCCACAAAAGCUUCACCCACAAAAGCUUCACCCACAAAAGCUUCACCUACAAAAGCUUGACCCACAAAAGUUUGACCCACAAAAGCUUCACCCACAAAAGCUUCACCCACAAAAGCUUCACCUACAAAAGCUUCACCCACAAAAGCUUCACCCACAAAAGUUUCACCCAUAAAAGCUUAACCCACAAAAGCUUCGCCCACAAAAGCUUAACUCACAAAAGCUUCGCCCACAAAAGCUUGACCCUUCACCUACAAAAAUUUCACCCACAAAAGUUUCACCUACAAAAACUUCACCCACAAAAGCUUCACCCACAAAAGCUUCACCUACAAAGCUUCAACACAAAAGCUUCACCUACAAAAGCUUCACACACUCUUGAUCAAGAUAGUGUGAAGCAAAAUCAAUUCAUAGUACCCAACAAAGCUUCAACCUCAAACUUCACCUACAAAGCUUCAACAUCAAAGCUUCACCUACAAAGCAUAAAAAAUAUAUAUAUAUUCGGAAAAUUCAAAAAUUCAAAAAUUCAAAAACAAAUUCGAAAAAAAAAAUAUUUAAAAAUUGUCUAGGCCUGCUCUUCUUUGGGCCUAACAACUUUCAUAACAAAUAUAUAUGAAGGAGGAGUUUUGGGCUACCACUUAGAAAGGAAAUGCCUCAUUCGUCAACUCCCUCGACCGGAGACUUGGGGGACUCCUACCAUGUGCUACUGCACCUUGAUACUUAGAAGUCUCACGACCACUCAGUGACUUGGAUUUUUCAAGUCUCCAACCGAGAAGUUUUCCUCACUUGGGAAAUUAAGGGAGCACUACCUCAACAUACAUGCUUCACUCUCAAAGCUUCAACAUACAAGCUUCAACAAAAGAAAAAAUUCAAAGAACUUAGUGAAGUAGGUCUUGGUGUAUUUAACACAAUACGUUGAAAUGAAGCAAAGCUUGUUUAUUGAUAUCUCCGAUAAGUUACAAAUAUGUACAUAUACAUAAAUCAAAAUAAACAAACAAGAGGGACCCUUCACAAAGGUUGCUCUUGAGAAGUCUCAGCAGUCGGCAAAGCCCCAGAAAGAGUAGGCACCAAAGGGUGAUUAUUCGGAGCCUCAGUACUAGGCAGAACCCCAGAAGGAGGAGGCACCGAAGGUUGAUCAUUUAGAGUUUCAUUACACGGUACAGCCCUAGAAGACGAAAGCAAUAAAUGCCUUUGGAACAAACCCACAAACCUCUGAUGAUCAAGUAAAAUCUGACCAUCAGAUUCCUGCAACUGGUCGAGCUUCCUCUUCAUGUUUGUAGCAUAGUCAUGUGCGAGCCUGUGCAACUGUUUAUUCUCAUGCUUGAGCUUUCUGAUCUCCUGUUUGAUACUUAUCACUUUAGCUGCCAAUGAUUCAACUUGGCGGGUUUGAGCAAAUAAGCAUUGGGCCAUAUUAGACACAGAACCUGCACACUGAACACUGAGAGCCAGAGAAUCCUUAACAGCCAACUCAUCAAACCGUUUAGAAAGUAAUCUGUUAUCUUUGGGAGUGAGAAGGUUCAUGGCCACCACCGCAACGGUCAUAUCAUUCUUCAUCACAGAGUCCCAAACGGUAAGAGGACCAAUAGGGGAUAAGAAUGAUGGGCGCCAUAUGUUAUCUUGAGAAGGCAUGGCUGCCUCUUCACCAAAGUUCAAGUCAAAACGACGGUCGGAUGGGCCAGACAUUCUCAAAAAUGAUGAAGGAGAAAUGAGGUGCAGUAAAUCUCUUAAGUAAUGGGAAAAUUCCUACAAGCAAUAACUCUCUGAAUGUACUUCUUGCACACAAUUGGUGCCCUUAUAAAAGAAAGGGCAACAGGGCCGUUGGUUCAAAAAUUGAAGAGGCACCACUCUCCGGAUUCCGAAGAGACACCACUUUCCACACGCAACAUCAACUUCUCGGGUACCACAGAUAACUUUGCCAAAGAUCUCUGACAAAGUUUAGACACAUAAAUUUUGAAGGUCCAGCUACCCUACUAUUACCCAUAAGGGUAAAUUAACAACACCACUGCUUGAUAACUAGAAAGUCCCAAUGUGUGUCAAUCUUCGUGCUCCGUGGCAAGGCAGACUGGCAAAAAUGCCCAACCUUUACUCACAUUCGAGAAAACACUCCCAAUAAGAUUGCUUGCUCAAAAAUCGAAGAGGCACCGCUCUCCGAAUCUCUAAAGCCAGACUCCCAACAGGAUUACAUGCUCAAAAAUCGAAGAGGCACCGCCCUCCGAAUCUCGAGAGCUAGAUUCUCAACAGGAUUACUUUCUAAAAAAUCGAAGAGACACUGCUUUCCAAAUCUCAAGAGUCAGACUCCCAACAAGAUUGCUUUCUCAAAAAUCGAAGAGGCACCGCUCUCCAAAUCUCGAGAGCCAGACUCCCAACAGAAUUACGUGCUCAAAAAUCGAAGAGACACCGCCCUCCGAAUCUCGAGAGACAAACCUCCAAUAGGAUUACUUUCUCAAAAAUCGAAGAGACACUGCUCUCUGAAUCUCAAGAGUCAGACUCUCAAUAGGAUUGCUUUCUCAAAAAUCGAAGAGGCACCGUUCACUGAAUCUCGAGAGCCAGAUCCCCGACAGGAUUGCUUGUUCGAAAACCGAAGAGGCACUGCUCUUCGAACUUCGAGAGCCAGAUUUUCUUGGAUAAAGCUUGUCUGCAAUCUUCACACGCAACAUCAACUUUCUAGAUACCACAUACCACUUUUUCAAAGUGCUCUAACAAAGUUAAAACACGUGAAGCUUACAGCUCCCACUACAUUGUUAUGACCAAGAAGGGUAAAGGAAUAGCACUACUACUUGUUGUUAGGGAGACUCUUAUAUAUGUCGACCUUCAUCCUCCACAACCAGGCAUACCUGCAAAUAAAAAAAAUGCUCAACUUUUCUUCACAUCCGAAAGGGUACUCUCAGCAGAGUCUCUCGAAAUACUUAGCUUCUUUUCCUCCCGAUAAUACCUCUACAAACAAGCCACACCAGAGCAAGAGUAUCUCAUAUCAUCAGGGUUAAAAGCAAGAGUAUCCCAUAUCAUGUUUUUUCCCUGUCUUUUCCUUUGGCCUUGUUCUUACCUGCAAGACAAGGAGAAAGAGAGCAAUCAGUCAGCACUUGGAAUCAAGCUUCCAGUCAGGAACUGACUGCCUGGAACCCCUUGCCUGAUUACUUACCUGGCAUUGCUCUCGAGUACUCAUCUUCAACAUCUUAUGCUUCUAGAGAAGAUACCACAUCUGUCUGAGGAACAGAUAGGGCAAGUGAGAAGGAUACAAGGAAGCAUGUGGAGACAAGCGUAACAGAACACGUGCUGAUACAUCCAUUACUUUGUCAACAGCAAAAGUAUCUCAUAUCAUCAGGGUCGAACGUACUCUAGAUUUGAUGGACUUGUUUUGACCCUCAAAUUCUUAAGUCAGCCUUAUACUCUGGAGGAAACUAGAAAACCUUCCAGCCCAGUUCAAGAAUAAGCAUGUGGAAAGUUACUUCUUCAAAAGAAAAAGUAUCUCAUAUUAUCUCUUCUCCAUUUGCUUCUCCUUAUCCUUGUUACUGUUUACGACACAAGGAGAAGGAGAAUAAUCAACCGGAAGCCGAAGUCGAAUCUCCGAUCCAGGUUGCUUGCUUGGAAGUCUGAUUGCUUACCUUGUCUGUUACCUCUUUCGACAAAUCUCCUAGCUCGGCGACUUGGGGGACUCCUACUAUAGGGUUUGUAUCGCACUUGACCAAGCCCGAAACUACAAGUAAGCUUCAAGUGAAAUUGAUACAUUACCUUGUGCAUCUUCAUUGGUUAAAGAUACCACCCCUGGAGGGAGGAAAAGUACUUCCAGAGAAGAUGCCACAUCUACAUAUGAGACAGAUAAGGCAAGUGAAAAUGAUAUCACACUUCAGUACUUAGAAGUUUCGUGAUUACUCAAUGGCUUGGAUCUUGCAAGUCCCCAACUGAGGAGCUUCCCUCACUCGGGAACUUAGGGGAGCACUGUUUGUACCAUACUUGACCAAUCCUGAAACUACUGAGCACCGGUCAACGUUAUACCGUCAAGGACCCAGAAAAGUUUCCCUUCAACCAGGAGGUCAAUCACAGCGCAACACGUGUCGACAUCAGAAGCCAAUCAUAGCGCGACACAUGUCAACAUCAGAAGCCAAUCACAACACGACACGUGCCAAUGUCAGAAUGAAACUAGAAACUCUCUUCUAUAAAUAGAGAUCAUUCUCUCACAAUAUUUCCUAAUGUCAUUUGUACUAAAUCAUUCACUAGUACUCACUAAAGGAGAGCUUAAACCUAUGUACUUGUGUAAACCUUUUACAAUUAAUGAGAACUCCUCUACUCUGUGGACGUAGCCAAUCUGGGUGAACCACGUACAUCUUGUGUUUGCUUCCCUAUCUCUAUCCAUUUACAUACUUAUCCACACUAGUGACCGAAGCAAUCUAGCGAAGGUCACAAACUUGAUACUUUCUGUUGUACCAAAGUCCUCACUGAUUUUGUGCAUCAACAAAGAUGAUGAGGUGAUCAGGAUACUAUCAACAAGGAACAAGCCCCAUCUCAAGGAAGUCUAUAAACACUACGAGGAGAUUUCUGGCCACGACAUUGAUGAAGUAUGUAUAUAAGGUCCAAAGAGAAACGUUCAACUGCCUAGCUAAUUCUUCGAAUUUUUCUUGGCCUACUAACAAACGUAUGCAAGAGAAAUAAGUUGGGAGAAAGAGUUGGCUGUGCAACAUUAUCCAGAAAUUUUGUCAACCGAAAUACUUCCAGUAUUCAGAAUACUACUUGCAUCUAUUUUCUAAAGUCACAUUGUUUUGUUUAGGAUCUUGAUCAUGCUGUGAGGUUAAAGAGACGGUGCAAUGCCUGUGUACUCCUGAGAAAUAUUUCAGCAAGGUAAGCCAGAGUCACAAAUUUUGUAUCAAGUUACUCAUGCAAUAUUACAUAUGACCUCUUAGGCAACCUUGUGCAUGCAAUUAUUGAACUCUUGUGCUUAUCAGGUCUUGGAAGAUUCAUUGAGAACUGAUGUCCAUAAGCAUACCAAGAAGGGAUUGACUAGAGUAAUUGUUACCCGAGCUCACUCGGACAUGAUGGAGAUCAAGGAGGAAUUCGAGAACCAUCAUGGAGUCUCUUUAGUUGAGAAAAUUGAAGAGACGGCUAAUGGGAAUUAUAAGGAUUUCCUACUCACAUUGCUUGCAAGAGGAGGUUGACUAAAACGGCAGGACGGAAAGUUGGGGUUUGUCGGGAUUACUUGAAAGGGUCUCUGUGUUACCCUUGUCAAUUGUUUUCGAUUGUUUGGCUUUUUCAUGGCUCUUAUAGCUAUCUGUAUGUGUUUUGUGUUAUCAUUAAGAGAAACUGAAAUAAAUCAAUCAAUCAAUGAGGCAUUUUAGCGUUUCAAUAAACUCAUUUCGUGUUCAAAGAAGUAUCGAUGCACCUUCAAAGUAGCGUGCAGAGACUCAAGCUGGUGAGGCCACUCCCUCUUUGCUCAAGUUAAUGAAUGAAAUGGGAUGAGAUUAGCAAAGCCUAUUUUGAAAGUAAGCCCAAGUUUUCUCCAGUUGAAUAUGAGCUUAAGGAAAUAUUAGUAUAUUACUACUAGAGGCGUAAGAAACUUUUAGAUUACCUAUAAACAUUUAUUAACAUUUUCUAAUAGUUAAGGACAUAGUUCAAACAUUCUCUAAGCAAUUAAUGACACAAUCCACGUACAUAAGUUUGUAAUUCAUAUACCAAUAUUUGGGUUGUUUUUUAUUUUAAGCGAUCAUAUAACGAGUUAUUCUGUUGAUAGAUCCUGAGAUUUAUCUACAAGCUUUCUUAUGGUUUAAUGGGAGGAUUCCUUGGAUUUUGAUACUAUUGAUUUAGAUUUGUUCAAGUUUUUAGUCCUUACGUCCUGUUCUCCUAGUAGAAAUCACGAAGACACUUUUUGCCCGACUUUUGGCAAGAGAACAAGACGGACAUUAUUUAUAGAAGUCGCACGACUCACACCCAUAUAUUUUUGCUCAGCAUAUCCAUUUCUCCUCAUAGUUAAUCAUCAGGCAUAUUAGUUUUGCAAUUUAAUUACAUCCUUUUACUUUCCUCGCUUGCUGUUAAUCGAAAUCUGUUGCUAGAUUAUAAAUAUAACUUCCAUUUAAUCCAACCCUUGAUUAAAAAGCUGACAGACAACUUUUAUUAAUACUCCAUAACAUCCGAAACGAAAACAAAAGGUCUUGAUAAAAACCUUAAACUCCAACAAACAUAGAUAAAGGUAAGGUAGAUAGUCACACCACAAGGAAACACAAACACGGAAAAUAAAGACAGUCAUCAAACUCAAUAGAAAAACAGAAGCACUCAUAGCACUUGAUCAUACUAAUUUGCUCAGCGAAAAUUUUCAAUCUUCCUUCCCCAGCAGAGU